ACCCCAUGGAGCUUUAAACCUGACAGCACCCGCUCAUUCUAUACCCCAUUAUUUGCCCGACCCCUGUCUGCUCAGUUUUAGGUUGGGGUGACCACGGAGUAUAAAAUAACCUCCAUGAAGAAGGGGAUAUUUCCCUUAUUAGAGAACCACACUUCCAAGAACUAAUAAAUUAAUUUUCAAUGACCCGAUACCCGAUAAUCGAUCAACGAACCAAGUUACCCUGGGGAUAACAGCGCAAUCCACCCUGAAAGCCCUUAUUAACAGGUGGGUUUACGACCUCGAUGUUGGAUCAGGGUAUCCCANUGGUGCAGCAGCUACUGNGGGUUCGUUUGUUCAACGAUUAAAACCCU
This 350-nucleotide ribosomal RNA is filed under the name Boophis quasiboehmei. RNAcentral's name for it is "partial 16S ribosomal RNA". It matches the Rfam family "Bacterial large subunit ribosomal RNA", at positions 2088 to 2597 of the family's 2925-position model. Lineage: Eukaryota; Metazoa; Chordata; Amphibia; Anura; Mantellidae. The record is from RNAcentral.